Molecule: ribosomal RNA, 468 nt
Filed under: uncultured bacterium
Lineage: Bacteria
Description: partial 16S ribosomal RNA
Rfam family: Bacterial small subunit ribosomal RNA
Source: RNAcentral
GACGAACGCUGGCGGCGUGCUUAACACAUGCAAGUCGAACGGAAAGGCCCUGCUUUUGUGGGGUGCUCGAGUGGCGAACGGGUGAGUAACACGUGAGUAACCUGCCCUUGACUUUGGGAUAACUUCAGGAAACUGGGGCUAAUACCGGAUAGGAGCUCCUGCUGCAUGGUGGGGGUUGGAAAGUUUCGGCGGUUGGGGAUGGACUCGCGGCUUAUCAGCUUGUUGGUGGGGUAGUGGCUUACCAAGGCUUUGACGGGUAGCCGGCCUGAGAGGGUGACCGGCCACAUUGGUACUGAGAUACGGCCCAGACUCCUACGGGAGGCAGCAGUGGGGAAUAUUGCACAAUGGGCGGAAGCCUGAUGCAGCAACGCCGCGUGCGGGAUGACGGCCUUCGGGUUGUAAACCGCUUUCGCCUGUGACGCAGCGUGAGUGACGGUAAUGUGUAAAGAAGCACCGGCUAACUACGUG